This 485-nucleotide ribosomal RNA is filed under the name uncultured bacterium. Its description in RNAcentral is "bacterial SSU rRNA". It matches the Rfam family "Bacterial small subunit ribosomal RNA", at positions 28 to 507 of the family's 1533-position model. The record is from RNAcentral.
GAUGAACGCUAGCGGGAGGCUUAACACAUGCAAGUCGAGGGGCAUCACGAGGUAGCAAUACCUUGGUGGCGACCGGCGCACGGGUGAGUAACACGUAUGCAACCUUCCCUGUACAGGGGAUAACCCGGAGAAAUUCGGACUAAUACCCCAUGAUGAUAUUAAUGGGCAUCCAAUAAUAUUUAAAGCUCCGGCGGUACGGGAUGGGCAUGCGCGACAUUAGCUAGUUGGUAGGGUAACGGCCUACCAAGGCCACGAUGUUUAGGGGACCUGAGGGGGUUGUCCCCCACACUGGUACUGAGACACGGACCAGACUCCUACGGGAGGCAGCAGUGAGGAAUAUUGGUCAAUGGGCGCAAGCCUGAACCAGCCAUCCCGCGUGAAGGAAGAAUGCGCUACGCGUUGUAAACUUCUUUUCCAGGGGGAGAAUUUUCCUGUCGAGACAGGGAUUGACGGUACCCUGGGAAUAAGCAUCGGCUAACUCCGUG